CUUAAAAAAGAUCUAAUAAAUUUGGGCAUGUUUCCGCGUAAAUUGUAUUCAAACAUUUUUUUAAGUAUACCAUACCGCCAUGUCAUGUCAUAUGCGCUCUUGAUAUCAAAGAAGACCCCAAUCAAAUGCUCGCCACCAUCAAACGACUUUAGGAUGUUAUCAGUUAAUUUAACCAAAUGAUCGAUCGUCGACCGACCUCUCCGAAAACCGGCCUGAUAGGGGACGAUGAUCUCGUUUUCUUCCAGAAAGACCCGCAUGAAGUCAAACUAAUUGGACGGUAGUGCUGCGCCAACAGCGGAUCUUUCCCCGUUUUAAGUAUGGGAACGACUAUGGCCCGUUUCCACUCAUCAGGGUUUGCUACAAUGACGAAGCAUCUGAUUGUGGAUACUAUCGUGACCGGGAGCGCAGGAUUUCGUGUUUUUAAGUGCAGAUUCUAAUUCAUCCAUACUAAAAGCUUUAGUCUCAAGGAAAAACGCUGGAUAGUUUAACGAACUACUGACCUGAUAGAAAUGGUCUGCCAAGAGGUUCGAAAUUUCUUGUAAAUCUUUCGUAACCACCCCAUCGUUUUUCCGAAGGAAUGCCGGGUAGUUUAGUUUAGAUUUGCCAGAUAUCGCACCCAUCUUUUUCCAUAUUUCACUCAUAGUCACGUCCGUCGUUAUGGUGGAUACAUAGUGUUGCCACGACCUUCUUUGUGCCUGGAGAUUUAUGCCGAAUAUUAAUCGCAAGCACGAAUUUUGAAUUUUUUGUAUUCUACGAGCAUCCAGACUAUCGAGGCAAGGACCAUA
Photinus pyralis (common eastern firefly) is the source of this 785-nucleotide long non-coding RNA. RefSeq lists it as uncharacterized. The transcript is spliced from 3 exons. The record is from RefSeq and is a predicted model, not a curated record. Lineage: Eukaryota; Metazoa; Arthropoda; Insecta; Coleoptera; Lampyridae.